UACGAAGGUGGCAAGCGUUGUUCGGAUUUACUGGGCGUAAAGGGUGCGUAGGCGGUUUGGCAAGCCCUUCGGGAAAGCUCUCGGCUUAACCGAGAAAGGUCGGAGGGGACUGUCAAACUAGAGGACGGGAGAGGAGCGCGGAAUUCCCGGUGUAGCGGUGAAAUGCGUAGAGAUCGGGAGGAAGGCCGGUGGCGAAGGCGGCGCUCUGGAACGUUUCUGACGCUGAGGCACGAAAGCGUGGGGAGCAAACAGG
This 253-nucleotide unclassified non-coding RNA is filed under the name uncultured Nitrospira sp. Its description in RNAcentral is "contains 16S-23S intergenic spacer region". It matches the Rfam family "Bacterial small subunit ribosomal RNA", at positions 524 to 776 of the family's 1533-position model. Lineage: Bacteria; Pseudomonadati; Nitrospirota; Nitrospiria; Nitrospirales; Nitrospiraceae. The record is from RNAcentral.